This 253-nucleotide ribosomal RNA is filed under the name uncultured bacterium. RNAcentral describes it as "partial 16S ribosomal RNA". It matches the Rfam family "Bacterial small subunit ribosomal RNA", at positions 524 to 776 of the family's 1533-position model. The record is from RNAcentral.
UACGUAGGGUGCGAGCGUUAAUCGGAAUUACUGGGCGUAAAGCGUGCGCAGGCGGUUCGUUGUGUCGGCGGUGAAAACCCCGGGCUUAACCUGGGAAUGGCCGUUGAAACUGGCGAACUGGAGUGUGGCAGAGGGGGGUGGAAUUCCGCGUGUAGCAGUGAAAUGCGUAGAGAUGCGGAGGAACACCGAUGGCGAAGGCAGCCCCCUGGGCUAACACUGACGCUCAGGCACGAAAGCGUGGGGAGCAAACAGG